UCCGUAGGUGAACCUGCGGAGGGAUCAUUACCGAGUUAUACAACUCAUCAACCCUGUGAACAUACCUAAAACGUUGCUUCGGCGGGAACAGACGGCCCUGUAACAACGGGCCGCCCCCGCCAGCGGACCCCUAACUCUGUUUUUAUAAUGUUUUUCUGAGUAAACAAGCAAAUAAAUUAAAACUUUCAACAACGGAUCUCUUGGCUCUAGCAUCGAUGAAGAACGCAGCGAAAUGCGAUAAGUAAUGUGAAUUGCAGAAUUCAGUGAAUCAUCGAAUCUUUGAACGCACAUUGCGCCCGCCAGUAUUCUGGCGGGCAUGCCUGUUCGAGCGUCAUUACAACCCUCAGGCCCCCGGGCCUGGCGUUGGGGAUCGGCGGAAGCCCCCUGUGGGCACACGCCGUCCCUCAAAUACAGUGGCGGUCCCGCCGCAGCUUCCAUUGCGUAGUAGCUAACACCUCGCAACUGGAGAGCGGCGCGGCCAUGCCGUAAAACACCCAACUUCUGAAUGUUGACCUCGAAUCAGGUAGGAAUACCCGCUGAACUUAAGCAUAUCAAUAAGCGGAGGA
This 566-nucleotide ribosomal RNA is filed under the name uncultured fungus. RNAcentral describes it as "partial 18S ribosomal RNA". The stretch from base 181 to 334 matches the Rfam family "5.8S ribosomal RNA". Lineage: Eukaryota; Fungi. The record is from RNAcentral.